Lolium rigidum is the source of this 3239-nucleotide long non-coding RNA. RefSeq lists it as uncharacterized. The transcript has 5 exons. Lineage: Eukaryota; Viridiplantae; Streptophyta; Magnoliopsida; Poales; Poaceae. The record is from RefSeq and is a predicted model, not a curated record.
UCGGCCUCCCCCGCCUCCACCGAUGGCGCCGCUGGUAAGCGCUGCUGGCCGGCCGGCGUUCCCACUCCUCAACUAUCCCUCGACCUCAUCCGUGGAGGCCUGAGGCUGCCUCAGCUCCUACCGCCCCCUGGUGACUGCGGUGAAGAUCAAGGCUAGGUCAAGCCUGCACCGGCUUCAAUCCAAUUCAUGCCCACAGGAUCAUCCCUCUAAUUGCUCACUUCGGGUAAUCUAUUCCUAGAGUAAUAAAGUGCCCUUUAUAGAAAAAAAAACUAUUCCUAAAGGAGUGCAAUGUAACCUCGGGUUGUUGAUCCUAUGUUAUUCAGUGAAAGAUGGGGCAAGUGUAUGUAUUGCUCCAUCAAUUGGGGGCAACGGUUAUAGAAUAUAGACAGAAAUAUUUCAAUUGAAGGCAUUGGGUAUAGGAAUAAGUAUUUGACCAGUACUACCAACAUAUGUUGGCUGUAAUUCAACUGGUGGGGACUGGAUUUUCUCGAGGUGCAGUUUCAUGUGAAACUUUAUUUAAACUAUACGGAUUCAAGCUGCUAGACUGCCUGCCAGAUGUUCGAUGAAAUGCAUCAACUAUCUAACAUGCACUACUACAGGAUAGUGGCAGCGGAGGAAUCCUGCAGUUGGAGUGGAGCAGAGUUGCAUGGACGGAGGGUAUCCGGAUGGCGGCGGCCUCAUGCGGUGCUUUCACGACGACCCCCAAAUGGCCUCCUCCCCUGGCAGAAGACCCGGCGGUACCAACUACCAUGGAUCACUUCGCGGUGGUGGCGGGUGAUAGAGGACCGAUGCACGCGUACGAGGUGGACCUGUAUCAUGAAUGUUGAGCGUGAGAUGGUAAAGAGGAUCAUUUGAUGGCAGCCUUCAGCAAGGUCUGCCCUCUACUACGUCACUUCCUCCUGCCGAUGUUGUGGCCUUCAAGAUGUUACUGCAGCGCUUGGCUUGCUGUUCCUGCUAUUCUGUCCAUGAUCUCUAGGUUUCCACCUUUUGCUAACAUAACUCUCCUACAUAGUAUUAAUUUCAGUUGCUUGAUGGUAGGAACAUACGGGUGCACUACGUGAACCGCGGAUGAUCUUCUGCUUUUGUCGACAUCGGUAAGAUGCCUAUUCGAUAUUGUUUCUACGAUGUUAAUCAUGUAUGUUAAACCGUGCAUAGUGAGCAAUUGGUGCCCUCAUCUUAUGACUUGAAUAUGUCAUCAAAUCCCACGAAAAUAACUAUCCACACGUAAGUGUAUUACGUAUUAUGCAGCAUGUUAAAUCAUGUAUUAUGUAUGUUAAAUUUGUAAUGUUUAACAAUUCAUGCCCCUGAUCCUAAAACUUGAAUGUGGCAUCGAUUCUCUCGGAAUAUAUCUGCCCAUCCAAUAUUUGUAUUGUGUACGAUGCAGCAUGCAUGCCAUAUUGUAUCUAUUCAGACUGCCACUGGCUCUGCAAAUUAGAGCUUACUUUUGAAGAACUUAUUUAGUGGGGAGCAGUAAUUAGGGUAAUUUUACCAAUAGGGGAGUGUAUUAUUCAAGCCCACAUGAGUCAGUAGAGAUUCACAAUGGAGAGAUAUACUGUGAAUCAUCUCAUAUUUAACUCAACCACCCAAUCAUAUAACACAAGAGUAGUCGGAGAGAAUGCCUUAUGUAUAUGGCCUACAGCAUACUGCCUUCUAGGAACCAGAUUAAUAUUCAUCAUUUAGCAUGGCAGUAACAAAGAACAAGAACCAUAAUACGUACUAUUUAUAGUGUAAUUUGUCCAAUUUUUUAAUUUACAUUAUCAAGCAAGCAGAAUAGUAUCCAUGUGAUAGCAUAAAGACCCUCACAAAACAAUUUCUGCAUAAAGGUUAGAACAGUUAAAAAUAAAAUGUUGCAUGGAACGCUGAAGGGCCUUAUAUGUUUUACUUUUAGGUAUGAAGUCCGUGUCCUCCUUAUUUUUCGUUAUUAUUGUCUGAUUUCCGAUACACUCUCCAAUGCACAUUCGUUGUGUUGAGAGUCUGAUUGUUAAAUGAAAUGAUAAACAUGUACCCUGGAAUUUUGUACUUACAUGAUCAUGGCACAUACUCUAAGUCCAGUCUUAAACUUAUUGCUUACAACCUUUUAAAAAUACGGUUUCUUGCAUGCAAAGGAACAAACGAAAAUAACAGCAUUAUCUAGGAGAUUCUGCUUCUUUUAUCGUAGAAUGAUGCAGGGUUUCAUGCCAUUACAUCUGACAUUUUGGUUGCUUCCGGGAGUAAAGAUAUCUACUUGGGUUUUCUCUCGAAGAUUGCAUUUUCCUUACAUAAUCCAUUUAAAUUUGGAGAUUCUCACUCACUGGUUCAUGUAGAAAGAGAAUGUAAACUGUAUCCACUUUUUCUUGGAUCAUUUGGGAUUGCUGAAUGGAAAACACUUUCAAGGCACAAAAUCUAUGAGAAUCAUGACAAGUAAUUGUACCGAAAAGGAUUACUGUCCUAUCUGGCAAUCUGUAUUGAAUUAAUUUAAGCUAGAACUGAGAAACAAGUUAGCUUCAAAAAAAAAAAAAAAAUAGUUAUUUCGUGCUCAAGUAUUCCUAAAUAGCUGAACAGAUUGAGUUCAUUGCAGUAAAUUUCUUUUGAAAACCUAACAUUGAUGAUGCAAGUUUCAACUGGACCAUAUCAGCUUAUUAUAGACAUUCUUACACUUCGAAUGCAAGUUGGAAAUAAUUAUUUCCCGAAGGACAACUACAGUUGCUCAAUGAGAUGCUGACUGGAAUCUCCAAGAAGCAUAUUUCUUUUCAGUUGUUCUCCUAGCUGGAAUCUCUAGAGAUGCUGACUGGAAUCUAUAAUUUUUGUGCUAUUUUGUACAAGCCAGAUUGGGUGGCCCAGUUUAUCCAUCCAUACACACACAAAAUUACCAGAGUAUUUGAAGUUCGUUUUGGUAGCAAUGCUAUGUCCGUAGGCUGAUCAAUCCUUCAUCUUGGUAGCUAGCUCUGAAUAAGAUCAGUGGUAUGUACGGAAGAAGUUCGUUCUGGUAGCAAUGCUAUGUCUGUAGGCUGAUCAAUCCUUCAUCUUGGUAGCUUGCUCUGAAUAAGAUCAGUGGUAUGUACGGAAGCCUUUUGUAAUCAUACAUUUUGUCUGUAUGAAUGACGUGCUAUGUAAUCUGUCUAUAGUGUUUGGUCAUGCACUGCUUAAAGAUUAUGAUGAGUCCAACCAACAGUUCUAUGUAUGAUUAUUCAUAUCCUCUGUAUUUGCACUAUGUGUAAACUGGGUAGCCCAGCUGUUUAGUGAUGUUUACUGUUCUUCCA